Molecule: ribosomal RNA, 450 nt
Filed under: uncultured bacterium
Lineage: Bacteria
Description: partial 16S ribosomal RNA
Rfam family: Bacterial small subunit ribosomal RNA
Source: RNAcentral
GUGAGGAAUUUUGCGCAAUGGCCGCAAGGCUGACGCAGCAACGCCGCGUGGGUGAUGAAGGCCUUCGGGUCGUAAAGCCCUGUCAGGUGGGAAGAAAGGCUUGGAGAAGCAACGCUUUGAGUUUGACGGUACCACCAGAGGAAGCACCGGCUAACUCCGUGCCAGCAGCCGCGGUAAUACGGAGGGUGCGAGCGUUAUUCGGAAUUACUGGGCGUAAAGCGCGUGUAGGCGGGGAUGCAAGUCUGAUGUGAAAGCCCUGGGCUUAACCUGGGAAGUGCAUUGGAAACUGCAUUUCUUGAGUACUGGAGAGGAAGGGGGAAUUCCCGGUGUAGAGGUGAAAUUCGUAGAGAUCGGGAGGAAUACCAGUGGCGUAGGCGCCCUUCUGGACGGUAACUGACGCUGAGACGCGAAAGCGUGGGGAGCAAACAGGAUUAGAAACCCUGGUAGUCC